This is a non-coding RNA of Schizosaccharomyces pombe (fission yeast), 880 nucleotides long. The record is from the annotation of a GenBank genome assembly. Lineage: Eukaryota; Fungi; Ascomycota; Schizosaccharomycetes; Schizosaccharomycetales; Schizosaccharomycetaceae.
AAAGAGAUAUCGACAAGAAGUGAUUGAGACUCAAUACUAGUCAAAAUCAACGAGUGUGAAGACAAAUCUUCUUUCAUUCCCAGUAAACCAAAAAUGGUUUUGUAUCAUUGUUACGUCAAAAUUCGCUAUGAUUUUAUUGGAAGGCCAUGAGAUUACUGAUGCUCAAGGGAUUCAACUUUUGACAGUUAUUGUUCAGUGUAGAUAGGACUGCUUUUACGAGGAAAUUUUGGUUUCUCAAAUCGAGCUUAGUUUAGCAAUACAAUGUUAAGUAAAAAGAUUGUGUUGCUUUCUCUUUAAUAAUUGCAGAUUCAGUUGAACAAUCAAAAAAACAGCAGAUAGGAAAAAACAUUUGAAAUGAAAAUUUGGCCAAGUCAAGGAGUCGCGACAAUUUAUUUUACCAUCUGUAGCAUAUGUGUGUAUGGGAAGCAGAAGUAGGCGGAUUCGGGUCAUUUAUAUUGUAUUAUGAACCGUCUUAAUGCUGCUUUCUGCUGACAUGGACAUCUUUAAAAAUAUACAAACAAUUACCGUGUAAUUCACAAUAGAUUUAAUACCAUCAGCAUUAAUGAGUUGGUUGAGAAGCCAUCAUUGCGAAAUCGCAAUGUAGGUAGAGUAAACGAAGCGAAUUGUUUACGAUAAAAUACAGUAUAUCUUUAGAACCGUAGAUAGCUGCAUCAGCGAAACGAUUGGUUUUUUCUGCAAAUACUAUUACAACCAGUAGCAUGAAGAACGCUUCUUACUGCCGCAUCGUUUUUGCCGACCUGGCUGAUCGAUUGACAAAACAAACUUCUAGCAGAAAUAAAUGAUCAGCGCUUCUUAUAUUUAACAUUUGGCAGCGUGCUGCCCGCGUGUGAAUAUUUUCCUUAAGUUUGUAUCCCAACAG